CUACGGGGUGCAGCAGUGGGGAAUAUUGCACAAUGGGCGCAAGCCUGAUGCAGCCAUGCCGCGUGUAUGAAGAAGGCCUUCGGGUUGUAAAGUACUUUCAGCGGGGAGGAAGGGAGUAAAGUUAAUACCUUUGCUCAUUGACGUUACCCGCAGAAGAAGCACCGGCUAACUCCGUGCCAGCAGCCGCGGUAAUACGGAGGGUGCAAGCGUUAAUCGCAAUUACUGGGCGUAAAGCGCACGCAGGCGGGUUGUUAAGUCAGAUGUGAAAUCCCCGGGCUCAACCUGGGAACUGCAUCUGAUACUGGCAAGCUUGAGUCUCGUAGAGGGGGGUAGAAUUCCAGGUGUAGCGGUGAAAUGCGUAGAGGUCUGGAGGAAUACCGGUGGCGAAGGCGGCCCCCUGGACGAAGACUGACGCUCAGGUGCGAAAGCGUGGGGAGCAAACAGGAUUAGAUACCCGUGUAGUC
This 464-nucleotide ribosomal RNA is filed under the name uncultured bacterium. RNAcentral describes it as "partial 16S ribosomal RNA". It matches the Rfam family "Bacterial small subunit ribosomal RNA", at positions 339 to 795 of the family's 1533-position model. The record is from RNAcentral.